UCUCCAUCAUCAUCAUGAUCAUGAUCAUGAUCAUCAUCAUGAUCAUCAUCAUGAUCAUGAUCAUGAUCAUGAUCAUGAUCAUCAUCAUCAUCAUCA
This 96-nucleotide microRNA precursor is filed under the name Guillardia theta CCMP2712. RNAcentral describes it as "microRNA mir-598". The record is from RNAcentral. Lineage: Eukaryota; Cryptophyceae; Pyrenomonadales; Geminigeraceae.